Molecule: long non-coding RNA, 1614 nt
Filed under: Gallus gallus (chicken)
Lineage: Eukaryota; Metazoa; Chordata; Aves; Galliformes; Phasianidae
Description: lncRNA (ENSGALG00010026284.1)
Source: RNAcentral
UGAAACCUCAUCUCGAAAUUUAAAACGCAGUGGUUCAUUUCUAACAAGAUGAAGCAAAGUGCUUUUAUUUUUAUGCUGCGUUAUGAACUAAAAUAGACAGAAUUUACAUGCAUUUCCAAAGUGCUUCAAUAAAUCCAAGCACCAGUCGUCAGCCAAGGAGAGAUUUGACCACAAUUUCCCACCAGCUCAUGGCUUUGUCUCUUCGUGUCUCAAUUCUGCUUCUGUACAAUGUGGGUAUUUUUCCUCUCUCUGUCUUGUCUACGUGUGUUAAAGCUAUCAGAACUGAGACUGUCUCUGCUUUUAGCCCACAGAGGAUGGAGAUGUCUCUUUCAGAGCUCAGGAAUACAAUGACAAUGUUUAUUUGGCACUGAUUUCAGGAGCAACUGACUUAUAAUACAAGUAUACGGAGGGGUAAGGCCAACGUAUUCCACCUUUUUUUAAUCCUAAUUUACUGUGGAAGUCUCUGAAAUUCUGUCAUAGAGCCAUGGAAUGGCUGUGGUUGGAGGGGAGCUCAAAGCCCUCCCAGUGCCACCCCCAGCCAUGGGCAGGGCUGCCCCCCACCAGCUCAGGCUGCCCAGGGCCCCAUCCCACCUGGCCUUGAGUGCCUGCAGGGAUGGGGCACCCACAGCUCUCUGGGCAAAUGAGCGUGUCCAAAUCUGUGGCUGUUGCACUGACUCUGCCCCCCAGUCCUGUAGUCAGGGGAAAACAUUCUUUGUGUCAAAAGCUUCCUCGCGAAAGUAACUUUCUAUUGAAAAAAUAAGGUUCAGAUAGGUUACCAGAAACUUCAGCUAUUUCCACUCAUUUGUCCUCUUAAUGUUCUGCAAUUAGCCAUUUGUCCUCUUUAUAUUCUGUAAUUAAAAAAAAAAAAAACUAUUGACAUUGUAAUACUUAACCUAUAUUAAAACGACAUCCUCCCUCUGCUCAUUACUCCAGCCUGAAAUAAUAAUCAGAGUGUGCUAAAAUGGGAAAAUCCACAAGUGUGAGCAAAGCUCUGAAGGGAGCUAAUUAACAGUCCUCAAAAGUGCAGAAAUACAACUAAAAACUAUGACGCCAGCAAAGGAAAACAAAAAAAAAUUGUGUGACCUUUGAGUACUGCCCAUUAACAGUGACAGGAGAGAUGGGACUCACACAACCUUGGUCAUGGUACCCAGCUAAUAUCCCUGCUAAUUUUAGACAUCCCUCCAUGGCAGGCAGGGAAAGCCCAGUCAGUGCUGAAAUAUGUUUCCAUUGGGCGAUCUCAUCGAACUACAACAUCCUUGGAGUUGGAAGGGACCCCCAAAGGCCGCCUGGUGCCACUCCCUGCAGUGCACAGGGACAGCCACAGCUCCAGCAGUGCUCAGAGCCCCAUCCAGCCUGACCUUGGCUGUUUCCAAUUAUAGGGCAUUUAGGUUCAUUGAUCAAACAAGGAGAACAAAACAACAACGGAGAGGGGUGAGAAGAGCCUCAUUUUCCUCUUUGCAGUACGAAGAUAAGAACAUCUCUUUUCCAGGCUUCGGUCAAACACAUUCCUUCAGAGCAUUCUUCCUUUCCACACUGUGCCUCCUAAGGCGGCUGAUGGGUUCCUCACUACCGGAUCUCUGAGUUCUCUGCUCCCGAGACUGCAAGAUCUCCAGG